Molecule: ribosomal RNA, 446 nt
Filed under: uncultured bacterium
Lineage: Bacteria
Description: partial 16S ribosomal RNA
Rfam family: Bacterial small subunit ribosomal RNA
Source: RNAcentral
CCUACGGGUGGCAGCAGUCGAGAAUCAUUCACAAUGGGGGAAACCCUGAUGGUGCGACGCCGCGUGGGGGAAUGAAGGUCUUCGGAUUGUAAACCCCUGUCAUGUGGGAGCAAAUUAAAAAGAUAGUACCACAAGAGGAAGAGACGGCUAACUCUGUGCCAGCAGCCGGGGUAAUACAGAGGUAUCAAGCGUUGUUCGGAAUCACUGGGCGUAAAGCGUGCGUAGGCUGUUUCGUAAGUCGGGUGUGAAAGGCGCGGGCCCAACCCGCGGACGGAACAUGAUACUGCGAGACUAGAGUAAUGGAGGGGGAACCGGAAUUCUCGGUGUAGCAGUGAAAUGCGUAGAUAUCGAGAGGAACACUCGUGGCGAAGGCGGGUUCCUGGACAUUAACUGACGCUGAGGCACGAAGGCCAGGGGAGCGAAAGGGAUUAGAUACCCCGGUAGUC